RNAcentral lists this long non-coding RNA (268 nucleotides) under Mytilus galloprovincialis (Mediterranean mussel). The record is from RNAcentral. Lineage: Eukaryota; Metazoa; Mollusca; Bivalvia; Mytilida; Mytilidae.
GCGUUUUCAGAUUCAUCACUCGACAACUUCCUGUUUACCGAACACUUGUAUGAUUUUACACAUGAUAGCCAAGUUGAAAAUUUUCGUCACAUUUUUCCCAGGAACUACAAUACAAGGAUUUCUGAAAUUUGGUUUCAGGAUUUUUAUAAGUCAGCUAUACCGUGUGAUGCGUUUUCAGAUUCAUCACUCGACAACUUCCUGUUUACCGAACACUUGCAUAUUUUUACACUAUUAAUAUUAUCCACUUGCGGCGGGGGUAUCAUCAGUG